GUGCUACAAUGGCGUACACAGAGGGAAGCGAGAGGGAGACCUGGAGCGAACCCCAAAAAGGACGUCCCAGUUCGGACUGGAGUCUGCAACCCGACUCCACGAAGUUGGAUUCGCUAGUAAUCGCGCAUCAGCCAUGGCGCGGUGAAUACGUUCCCGGGCCUUGUACACACCGCCCGUCAAGCCAUGGGAGCCGGGGGCGCCUGAAGUCCGGGACCGCGAGGACCGGCCUAGGGCGAAACUGGUAACUGGGGCUAAGUCGUAACAAGGUAUC
This 271-nucleotide ribosomal RNA is filed under the name uncultured bacterium. RNAcentral's name for it is "partial 16S ribosomal RNA". It matches the Rfam family "Bacterial small subunit ribosomal RNA", at positions 1222 to 1500 of the family's 1533-position model. The record is from RNAcentral.